Molecule: ribosomal RNA, 253 nt
Filed under: uncultured bacterium
Lineage: Bacteria
Description: partial 16S ribosomal RNA
Rfam family: Bacterial small subunit ribosomal RNA
Source: RNAcentral
AACGUAGGAGACAAACGUUAUCCGGAGUUACUGGGCGUAAAGGGCGUGUAGGCGGUUCGUUAAGUCUGGCGUGAAAGCUCUCGGCUAAACCGGGAGAGGUCGUUGGAUACUGGCGGACUAGAGGACGGUAGAGGCGUGUGGAAUUCCGGGUGUAGUGGUGAAAUGCGUAGAGAUCCGGAGGAACACCAGUGGCGAAGGCGACACGCUGGGCCGUACCUGACGCUGAGGAGCGAAAGCGUGGGGAGCGAACAGG